UACGGAGGGGGCAAGCGUUGUCCGGAAUCAUUGGGCGUAAAGAGCGUGUAGGCGGCUUGGCAAGUCUGGUGUGAAAUCUUGCGGCUCAACCGCAAGCGGUCACUGGAAACUGCCUCGCUAGAGUCCGGAAGAGGAGAGCGGAAUUCCUGGUGUAGCGGUGGAAUGCGCAGAUAUCAGGAAGAACACCCGUGGCGAAGGCGGCUCUCUGGGACGGUACUGACGCUGAGGCGCGAAAGCGUGGGGAGCGAACAGG
RNAcentral lists this ribosomal RNA (253 nucleotides) under uncultured bacterium. Its description in RNAcentral is "partial 16S ribosomal RNA". It matches the Rfam family "Bacterial small subunit ribosomal RNA", at positions 524 to 776 of the family's 1533-position model. The record is from RNAcentral.